RNAcentral lists this ribosomal RNA (499 nucleotides) under uncultured bacterium. RNAcentral describes it as "SSU rRNA". It matches the Rfam family "Bacterial small subunit ribosomal RNA", at positions 26 to 511 of the family's 1533-position model. The record is from RNAcentral.
AGAACGAACGCUGGCGGCGUGGAUAAGACAUGCAAGUCGAACGCGACUUAUCUGGUUAGCAAUAACUAGGUAAGUUGAGUGGCGAAAGGGUGCGUAACACGUGGGAAUCUACCAAGAAGUGGGGGAAUAGCUCGGCGAAAGCCGAAUUAAUACCGCAUGUGAUCGAAAGAUCAAAGUCGGGGACCGCAAGGCCUGACGCUUUUUGAGGAGCCCGCGGCCCAUCAGCUAGUUGGCGGGGUAAAAGCCCACCAAGGCUAUGACGGGUAGCUGGUCUGAGAGGACGACCAGCCACACUGGAACUGAGACACGGUCCAGACACCUACGGGUGGCAGCAGUCGAGAAUUUUUCACAAUGGACGAAAGUCUGAUGGAGCGACGCCGCGUGGAGGAUGAAGGUUCUUGGAUUGUAACUCCUGUCACUGCAGAACAAGGAUACGCAUGUUAAUAGCAAGCGUAUUUGAUGGUAUGCGGAGAGGAAGGGACGGCUAAUUCUGUGACCG